This 71-nucleotide transfer RNA is filed under the name Bacillota bacterium. RNAcentral's name for it is "Firmicutes bacterium (anaerobic digester metagenome) tRNA-Gln". It matches the Rfam family "tRNA". Rfam says of the family: Transfer RNA (tRNA) molecules are approximately 80 nucleotides in length. Lineage: Bacteria; Bacillati; Bacillota. The record is from RNAcentral.
UGGGGUGUAGCCAAGCGGUAAGGCACAGGACUUUGACUCCUGCACGCCCUGGUUCGAAUCCAGGCACCCCA